This 1058-nucleotide long non-coding RNA is filed under the name Homo sapiens (human). Its description in RNAcentral is "HSALNT0085597". Lineage: Eukaryota; Metazoa; Chordata; Mammalia; Primates; Hominidae. The record is from RNAcentral.
CUCUUACAGAUGAUCUGCAGUCGUUGGCCCAUGGCUCCCUUCCAUCUUUGAAGGCAGAAAUGUCCAUUGAGUCUUUCUCACAUUACAUCACAUCACAUCAUUUUGACAAUUCCCCUGUCUCCUUCUUCCAUAUAUAAAGAGCCCAUAGGAUUACAUUGAAUUGCAGCUUCCAGACAAACACUUUCUGAAAAUGGCCAGGGAAUAAAUAUUUAUGUUGUGCUGGCCACAUAUGGUUUAUGUUGCAACUACUCAAUCUCAGCAUUGUACAACAGAAGCAGCUGUAGACAAUAGAUAAAAUAAUGGGUAGGGGUGUGUCCAAAUACAACUAUACUAAUAAAAACAAGCUGAGAGAAGGAUUUUGUCUAAAGCUGGAGUUUGCCAAACAACUAUCCUAGAACAAUGCCCUAUAACUGUGGACACAUAAGCGAAGUGUGUGGCUGAAUUAGCUAAUUAAGAGGUGAAAGUUUUCACAUAUGAUAAAUAGGCAUUAGCUCAUAUUGAUGCAUUUGAAAUGUUUUAACAAAAAUGUGAACUCCAGCAAGUUAGGAAGAAAAUGAGACUUCUGCAAUUAUCAGAUUGUAUAAACUCAUAUCUUAGCCUAGAUUGACAUGGAGAUUAACACAUGGAUACGUGAAUGUGUAUCGUACUACAUCUUCAUAUGUUCAUCUAAUAGUUGUUUAUUGACACGCAGCACUGUAUAAGCCAUUCGUGAUAAAACGGCCCAAAGCACCUUCUGCUCCAUUCUCUGAUGCUAAUUUUAUGUGAACAGUUACAUUCUACAUGUGAUUAAUCAUGCUUUUCAUUUUUAAUUUUUUUAUGCUCCACAUAUUUUGUUUUGUUGCUAGUUUGUGUUUGCAUGGUUUUCUCUACCUAUUGGUGAUUAUAAUUAUGUUUCCUUGUUUAUUUGAUUUAAUAUUUAGUGAAUCAAUAAAAUCUAUGACAAUAUCUUAAUAAUUCUCUAAACUGUCUUAGCAAACUUAAUAAAAAAUAAUUCAUAAUUAAAAGGAGCCAAUAAAACUGUGAAUUAUAUUCUUAAAUAUCCUCAAAAGAGGAAUAAA